ACGCUGGCGGCGUGCCUAAUACAUGCAAGUAGAACGCUGAAGCUUGGUGCUUGCACCGAGCGGAUGAGUUGCGAACGGGUGAGUAACGCGUAGGUAACCUGCCUCUUAGCGGGGGAUAACUAUUGGAAACGAUAGCUAAUACCGCAUAAAAGUCGACAUCGCAUGAUGUUGACUUGAAAGGUGCAAUUGCAUCACUAAGAGAUGGACCUGCGUUGUAUUAGCUAGUUGGUGAGGUAACGGCUCACCAAGGCGACGAUACAUAGCCGACCUGAGAGGGUGAUCGGCCACACUGGGACUGAGACACGGCCCAGACUCCUACGGGAGGCAGCAGUAGGGAAUCUUCGGCAAUGGGGGCAACCCUGACCGAGCAACGCCGCGUGAGUGAAGAAGGUUUUCGGAUCGUAAAGCUCUGUUGUAAGAGAAGAACGAGUGUGAGAGUGGAAAGUUCACACUGUGACGGUAACUUACCAGAAAGGGACGGCUAACUACGUGCCAGCAGCCGCGGUAAUACGUAGGUCCCGAGCGUUAUCCGGAUCUAUUGGGCGUAAAGCGAGCGCAGGCGGUUAGAUAAGUCUGAAGUUAAAGGCUGUGGCUUAACCAUAGUACGCUUUGGAAACUGUUUAACUUGAGUGCAGAAGGGGAGAGUGGAAUUCCAUGUGUAGCGGUGAAAUGCGUAGAUAUAUGGAGGAACACCGGUGGCGAAAGCGGCUCUCUGGUCUGUAACUGACGCUGAGGCUCGAAAGCGUGGGGAGCAAACAGGAUUAGAUACCCUGGUAGUCCACGCCGUAAACGAUGAGUGCUAGGUGUUGGGUCCUUUCCGGGACUCAGUGCCGCAGCUAACGCAUUAAGCACUCCGCCUGGGGAGUACGACCGCAAGGUUGAAACUCAAAGGAAUUGACGGGGGCCCGCAC
RNAcentral lists this ribosomal RNA (911 nucleotides) under uncultured bacterium. Its description in RNAcentral is "bacterial SSU rRNA". It matches the Rfam family "Bacterial small subunit ribosomal RNA", at positions 33 to 926 of the family's 1533-position model. The record is from RNAcentral.